ACACACACAUCAGCGCGCGCGCACACAUAUCUGCACAUGAGCACACACACAACUACACACACACACACACACACACUCGCGAGCGUGCGCGCCCUCUUCUUCUUAAAGGAGACGGCUUGUAAAGGGGAACAGCUACUGUACCGCGCACUGGAAGUAGCCAGACCUCCAGAAAGGCCCUGGAUUGGGAUGAGGUUCCUUAACAUACCGCCCACCCCUCAGCUGCGAGACGGGAACCCGGGAACCUGGGCGGUUCCAUCCUUUCGUCUCGCCCACCCCCUCGCGAGCAUCUAGAGACAAGUGCGCCCCUCCCCGCCCGGAGACUGGGUGGGGCUCAGGCUGCGGACCCCGGCUUGGGCUGGGGAGUGGCCCAGGCCGGAUCCCGGAGGGCGGCCCGCCUCGCCAAUCAAGCGUCCCUGGAAGCCAGCAGAGGGGAAGAGGAGCCCACGGGAAAGCGGUGCAGGCAAGGUUGAGGAUAAAGGCUGCUCCAAGUGUGACAGCUUCCUCGGUGAGAUGGAAGACAGAAUUGACAAGGCAAAUUUCAUGGACCAGGUAUCUGUGCUAGUCCGAUAAGCCUGAUGAAACAGUUCCCCAUAUGGACUCAUCUGGAUACCUGUGGAAAUAUAAUCACAGUCAGAGAGCAAUCCUAGAGAUGGACACCCAUAUUAAUGUGAAAGGAGGAGAAUUCACAAGAGGCAUGGGCAGAAACCAGGUGAAUCUUUAAGUUUGGCUACUUCAUUUCAAAGAAAAGAGGAAGGGCAUGUAAUGGUCAGUAAGGAAGAAUGGAAAUAACUGGGCUGUCUUAUAGCUCACCCCUCUUACAGUCUAUUAUGCAAAUCUUAGACCCAUUUGAAGAUGACAAUAAAAGAGCUGAGGCUUUUGUUAAUUUGUUUGCUUUGCUUUGCUUUGUUUUUUUUGUA
Long non-coding RNA from Leopardus geoffroyi (Geoffroy's cat), 917 nucleotides. RefSeq lists it as uncharacterized. Lineage: Eukaryota; Metazoa; Chordata; Mammalia; Carnivora; Felidae. The record is from RefSeq and is a predicted model, not a curated record. The transcript is spliced from 4 exons.